UAACGCGUGGGAAACCUGCCCUGUACCGGGGGAUAACACUUAGAAAUAGGUGCUAAUACCGCAUAAGCGCACGGAACUGCAUGGUUCUGUGUGAAAAACUCCGGUGGUACAGGAUGGUCCCGCGUCUGAUUAGCCAGUUGGCAGGGUAACGGCCUACCAAAGCGACGAUCAGUAGCCGGCCUGAGAGGGUGAACGGCCACAUUGGGACUGAGACACGGCCCAAACUCCUACGGGAGGCAGCAGUGGGGAAUAUUGCACAAUGGGGGAAACCCUGAUGCAGCGACGCCGCGUGAGUGAAGAAGUAUUUCGGUAUGUAAAGCUCUAUCAGCAGGGAAGAAAAUGACGGUACCUGACUAAGAAGCCCCGGCUAACUACGUGCCAGCAGCCGCGGUAAUACGUAGGGGGCAAGCGUUAUCCGGAUUUACUGGGUGUAAAGGGAGCGUAGACGGCAUGGCAAGCCAGAUGUGAAAACCCAGGGCUCAACCUUGGGAUUGCAUUUGGAACUGCCAGGCUGGAGUGCAGGAGAGGUAAGCGGAAUUCCUAGUGUAGCGGUGAAAUGCGUAGAUAUUAGGAGGAACACCAGUGGCGAAGGCGGCUUACUGGACUGUAACUGACGUUGAGGCUCGAAAGCGUGGGGAGCAAACAGGAUUAGAUACCCUGGUAGUCCACGCGGUAAACGAUGAUUGCUAGGUGU
This 694-nucleotide ribosomal RNA is filed under the name uncultured bacterium. Its description in RNAcentral is "bacterial SSU rRNA". It matches the Rfam family "Bacterial small subunit ribosomal RNA", at positions 111 to 823 of the family's 1533-position model. The record is from RNAcentral.